CUCCAGACUCCUACGGGAGGCAGCAGUGGGGAAUAUUGCACAAUGGGGGAAACCCUGAUGCAGCGACGCCGCGUGAGCGAAGAAGUACCUCGGUAUGUAAAGCUCUAUCAGCAGGGAAGAAGAUGACGGUACCUGACCAAGAAGCUCCGGCUAAAUACGUGCCAGCAGCCGCGGUAAUACGUAUGGGGCAAGCGUUAUCCGGAUUUACUGGGUGUAAAGGGAGCGUAGGCGGCCUGGCAAGCCUGAUGUGAAAUACCGGGGCCCAACCCCGGGGCUGCAUUGGGAACUGCCAGGCUGGAGUGCCGGAGAGGCAGGCGGAAUUCCUAGUGUAGCGGUGAAAUGCGUAGAUAUUAGGAGGAACACCAGUGGCGAAGGCGGCCUGCUGGACCGAAACUGACGUUGAGGCUCGAAAGCGUGGGGAGCAAACAGGAUUAGAUACCCCCGUAUUU
RNAcentral lists this ribosomal RNA (449 nucleotides) under uncultured bacterium. RNAcentral's name for it is "bacterial SSU rRNA". It matches the Rfam family "Bacterial small subunit ribosomal RNA", at positions 329 to 795 of the family's 1533-position model. The record is from RNAcentral.